UGCGAGCAUCCCCCAACAGCAAGCCC
RNAcentral lists this non-coding RNA (26 nucleotides) under Homo sapiens (human). Lineage: Eukaryota; Metazoa; Chordata; Mammalia; Primates; Hominidae. The record is from RNAcentral.